This is a non-coding RNA of Nothobranchius furzeri (turquoise killifish), 483 nucleotides long. NCBI's taxonomy places the organism in Eukaryota, Metazoa, Chordata, Actinopteri, Cyprinodontiformes, Nothobranchiidae. The record is from RefSeq and is a predicted model, not a curated record.
AGGUGUCUUUAAAGAGCGGGUCAAUUGAGCCUCGGAGUCCUUCUCCACCCACGUAUCAAUUUUAAAAAAUGCAACAUUAGUAGGCGUUGCCUGGAGGACCGAGAGGGCGGAGCCGCGGCAGUGACGAAGACGAUGGCUAACUAGACGAAGCUAGCUCCCUUCACUCUGAGCAGUUGAUAGAAGUGGAGGACGUUUCUCCCCCUCCUUACAGACACUCGAGAAGAAAGGGACCAAGUCUAUUUGGAGGAGACAAGCGGACCUGAGUCUUAUUGUUUUGAGCUUGUGAGUUGCCUGAAACUCCCAGAACCGACCCAACAGAAUCACCUCUGAAAGGUCCUCUGGUGUCUGCAGCUGGUCUCUGGUGUCUGCAGCUGGUCUCCUCUGCUGGUGUCCUCAGGAUCAGGAACUUCCAGAAGAAUGUGCCUUUCAAUGACUCUUUCCCCCUUAUUUGUUAUAUUAAUUAAAUAAAUCUCAAUUUAUAUA